RNAcentral lists this ribosomal RNA (549 nucleotides) under Triticum aestivum (bread wheat). RNAcentral describes it as "partial small subunit ribosomal RNA". The record is from RNAcentral. Lineage: Eukaryota; Viridiplantae; Streptophyta; Magnoliopsida; Poales; Poaceae.
AUGUGGCCUUGCGGCCCUGCCAGGGCCUUCCGGCCCGGUGCCCGGCCAGUCCAUGGCGCGGCGUGGCCUGCCACAGCCGGGCGAGCUCAAGAUCGACCGGAUCCGCCCCAAAUCCGGCCAGCGGGUGCGCAAAUCAGGUGGCCGUGGUUGGGUAGCUCGGGGGCGCCGAGGGGGAAGGGGUUGGGCGAGCGCGCGUCCGAGCUGCACAGCUACAAUGGCAGCAGCGGCGGCGACGAGGGAAGAGUGGAGAAGAAUGGAGGGUGUGCGGCCGGAAGGAGGGAGGGGGUGGACACGCGCAGACGGCCCGCGCGUCCGCGUGCUGUCCGUUUCACCCCAAAAGCGGCGCAAACUUGGGCCGGGAUGGGUCGAAAGCGGACAGAAAACGGACAAAAGUCCGUUUGCGCCCACGCGCUGGGCCGUCUGGUUCGUCCGUUUUAUCCCAAACGAACGCGUGCGGACAGGAUGGGGUCGCGCGGUGGAGUUGGCCUAAAUUUUUACAUCACCGAUUUAGAGCAUCAAAAUAUACAUCAUGUGUUGGAAAUGCUCUAA